RNAcentral lists this ribosomal RNA (504 nucleotides) under uncultured Rhodocyclales bacterium. RNAcentral's name for it is "bacterial SSU rRNA". It matches the Rfam family "Bacterial small subunit ribosomal RNA", at positions 384 to 879 of the family's 1533-position model. Lineage: Bacteria; Pseudomonadati; Pseudomonadota; Betaproteobacteria; Rhodocyclales. The record is from RNAcentral.
UGAUCCAGCCAUGCCGCGUGAGUGAAGAAGGCCUUCGGGUUGUAAAGCUCUUUCGGCCGGGAAGAAAUCGUGGUCUCUAACAUAGGCCAUGGAUGACGGUACCGGACUAAGAAGCACCGGCUAACUACGUGCCAGCAGCCGCGGUAAUACGUAGGGUGCGAGCGUUAAUCGGAAUUACUGGGCGUAAAGCGUGCGCAGGCGGUUUUGUAAGACAGAUGUGAAAUCCCCGGGCUUAACCUGGGAACUGCGUUUGUGACUGCAAGGCUAGAGUACGGCAGAGGGGGGUGGAAUUCCUGGUGUAGCAGUGAAAUGCGUAGAGAUCAGGAGGAACACCGAUGGCGAAGGCAGCCCCCUGGGCCUGUACUGACGCUCAUGCACGAAAGCGUGGGGAGCAAACAGGAUUAGAUACCCUGGUAGUCCACGCCCUAAACGAUGUCGACUAGUCGUUCGGAGCAGCAAUGCACUGAGUGACGCAGCUAACGCGUGAAGUCGACCGCCUGGGGA